This 77-nucleotide transfer RNA is filed under the name uncultured marine group II/III euryarchaeote SAT1000_18_C09. RNAcentral describes it as "tRNA-Lys". It matches the Rfam family "tRNA". Rfam says of the family: Transfer RNA (tRNA) molecules are approximately 80 nucleotides in length. Their secondary structure includes four short double-helical elements and three loops (D, anti-codon, and T loops). Further hydrogen bonds mediate the characteristic L-shaped molecular structure. tRNAs have two regions of fundamental functional importance: the anti-codon, which is responsible for specific mRNA codon recognition, and the 3' end, to which the tRNAs corresponding amino acid is attached (by aminoacyl-tRNA synthetases). tRNAs cope with the degeneracy of the genetic code in two manners: having more than one tRNA (with a specific anti-codon) for a particular amino acid; and 'wobble' base-pairing, i.e. permitting non-standard base-pairing at the 3rd anti-codon position. Lineage: Archaea; Methanobacteriati; Methanobacteriota. The record is from RNAcentral.
GGGCCUGUAGCUUAGUCAGGUAGAGCAUCCGGCUUUUAACCGGACGGCCGUGGGUUCAAAUCCCAUCAGGCCCGCCU